CGUAGGGUGCGAGCGUUAAUCGGAAUUACUGGGCGUAAAGCGUGCGCAGGCGGUUUUGUAAGACAGGCGUGAAAUCCCCGGGCCCAACCUGGGAACUGCGCUUGUGACUGCAAGGCUAGAGUACGGCAGAGGGGGGUGGAAUUCCACGUGUAGCAGUGAAAUGCGUAGAGAUGUGGAGGAACACCAAUGGCGAAGGCAGCCCCCUGGGUCGAUACUGACGCUCAUGCACGAAAGCGUGGGUAGCAAACAGGAUUAGAUACCCUGGUAGUCCACGCCCUAAACGAUGUCAACUAGGUGUUGGGUGGGUAAAACCAUUUAGUACCGGAGCUAACGCGUGAAGUUGACCGCCUGGGGAGUACGGCCGCAAGGUUA
This 372-nucleotide ribosomal RNA is filed under the name uncultured organism. Its description in RNAcentral is "bacterial SSU rRNA". It matches the Rfam family "Bacterial small subunit ribosomal RNA", at positions 526 to 896 of the family's 1533-position model. The record is from RNAcentral.